Long non-coding RNA from Hemicordylus capensis (graceful crag lizard), 914 nucleotides. RefSeq lists it as uncharacterized. The transcript has 4 exons. The record is from RefSeq and is a predicted model, not a curated record. NCBI's taxonomy places the organism in Eukaryota, Metazoa, Chordata, Lepidosauria, Squamata, Cordylidae.
UUUAAAAUUCCCGGACUAUCAAUCCACUUCCGUUCUCCAGCCAAACAGAGAAGCGCAUUCCCUCCGGAAGAGGCGGGCAGACGAAAAGGCGCAUGGGAAGAAGGUCAGCUAAGACCGGCCGUCCAAGGCUGUCCGUUGGUUCGCUGUUCCUUUAAGAGGUGGCCCCUCCCUCUCGACUCCGCUGCGGUCGACCCAACUUGCUAAGCUAUAGAGCGAAGGAAGGAGUUUAGUAGUUGCGGCGGGCGUGGGCAAGGCGCCCGGAAAGAACCCUGAAAAUCUAGGUGGUUGUUAUUCCCCCCCUCGCUCUUAGCAAUUUAAAGUAACGGCUGGCAGACGCUGAUUUACGCACAAGAGUGAGGUCCUAGAAUUCCAAGACUUGGUUCUAGAAGUAGAAUAUGAUGAUGAAAUCUGUGACCUGUUGAAAGAUGGUUCAGUUUCAAGCACACUAGAAAGAUGACAAGCUCCCAGAUGUGACAUAAGGGCCUUUUCAAAUGCAAAAUUGUUCUGAGGAAGAAGAAUGGUUGAAUGGAAAUAAAGUCACUGGCAUCUAGCAAGAAGCCAGAUGCUUCUCAGGGUGGAAUGGGUGAGGGUACUUAAAACCCCAGUCUGGAGAUAUAGAAGGAUCGGUGGGGGUAGAAGGUGGAGAAGAUAGAGGAAGGAGAGGAAGGAGUCGAUCGAUCAAUUUGACACACCCAACAUCUCGCAAAGGAGGAAACACCAGGUUCCUUUUUGGUAAGCUCAGGGAAAUUGAAUGAGCCACAAAGAGUGAGAGAAAGUUCUGACAAUCUUUUGGGUGUCAGCUUAAUAUUGUUUAAUUGUUGUAAAGAAGAGAGAGGUGUUGUGCUUGCUACUGUGAUUCAUCCAAAUUUUGGUAAGAAAAUAAAUCUGUUUUGAUUAAAUAUAAUCUCUUCAUU